AGUGAACGCUGGCGGCAGGCCUAAUACAUGCAAGUCGAACAGCAGCACAGCUUAAGCUUGCUUAAGUGGGUGGCGAGUGGCGGACGGGUGAGGAAUACAUGGGAAUCUGCCCAGUCGUGGGGGAUAACGUAGGGAAACUUACGCUAAUACCGCAUGCGCCCUUCGGGGAAAGCCGGGACCGUAAGGCCUGGCGCGAUUGGAUGAGCCCAUGUCGGAUUAGCUAGUUGGCGGGGUAACGGGCCUACCAAGGCGACGAUCCGUAGCUGGUCUGAGAGGAUGAUCAGCCACACUGGAACUGAGACACGGUCCAGACUCCUACGGGAGGCAGCAGUAGGGAAUAUUGGACAAUGGGCGCAAGCCUGAUCCAGCCAUGCCGCGUGAGUGAAGAAGGCCCUCGGGUUGUAAAGCUCUUUUGUCCGGAAAGAAAGCACUGGGUUAAUACCCCGGUGUCCUGACGGUACCGGAAGAAUAAGCACCGGCUAACUUCGUGCCAGCAGCCGA
RNAcentral lists this ribosomal RNA (501 nucleotides) under uncultured bacterium. RNAcentral's name for it is "bacterial SSU rRNA". It matches the Rfam family "Bacterial small subunit ribosomal RNA", at positions 29 to 518 of the family's 1533-position model. The record is from RNAcentral.